UGGAGCCAACCUUGAAAUACCACCCUUUAAUGUUUGAUGUUCUAACUCCGGUCCCUAAUCGGGAUUGAGGACAGUGUCUGGUGGGUAGUUUGACUGGGGCGGUCUCCUCCUAAAGAGUAACGGAGGAGCACGAAGGUUAGCUAAUCACGGUCGGACAUCGUGAGGUUAGUGCAAUGGCAUAAGCUAGCUUGACUGCGAGAGUGACGGCUCGAGCAGGUACGAAAGUAGGUCAUAGUGAUCCGGUGGUUCUGAAUGGAAGGGCCAUCGCUCAACGGAUAAAAGGUACUCCGGGGAUAACAGGCUGAUACCGCCCAAGAGUUCAUAUCGACGGCGGUGUUUGGCACCUCGAUGUCGGCUCAUCACAUCCUGGGGCUGAAGUAGGUCCCAAGGGUAUGGCUGUUCGCCAUUUAAAGUGGUACGCGAGCUGGGUUUAGAACGUCGUGAGACAGUUCGGUCCCUAUCUGCCGUGGGCGUUGGAAGAUUGAGAGGGGCUGCUCCUAGUACGAGAGGACCGGAGUGGACGCAUCACUGGUGUUCGGGUUGUCAUGCCAAUGGCAUUGCCCGGUAGCUAAAUGCGGAAAAGAUAAGCGCUGAAAGCAUCUAAGCGCGAAACUUGCCUCGAGAUGAGUCUUCCCUGAGACCUUGAGUCUCCUAAAGGAACGUUUAAGACUAAGACGUUGAUAGGCUGGGUGUGUAAGCGUAGCGAUACGUUGAGCUAACCAGUACUAAUGAUCCGUGAGGCUUAACCUUACAACACCGAAGGUGUUU
This 768-nucleotide ribosomal RNA is filed under the name Hafnia paralvei. RNAcentral describes it as "bacterial LSU rRNA". It matches the Rfam family "Bacterial large subunit ribosomal RNA", at positions 2181 to 2925 of the family's 2925-position model. The record is from RNAcentral. Lineage: Bacteria; Pseudomonadati; Pseudomonadota; Gammaproteobacteria; Enterobacterales; Hafniaceae.